This is an RNA transcript of Salvia miltiorrhiza (redroot sage), 2241 nucleotides long. RefSeq lists it as uncharacterized. Lineage: Eukaryota; Viridiplantae; Streptophyta; Magnoliopsida; Lamiales; Lamiaceae. The transcript has 4 exons. The record is from RefSeq and is a predicted model, not a curated record.
UAGUAUACAUCACAUCUAAUUGAAAAAUCAUUUCAUCAUCCACCGCCACCGGUGUGCUUCAAUUUCUCUUCUCUUCCCUUCUCCUCGCCGACCACCCCCAUCGGCGCCGCAGCUCCCUUCCACCUUCUCCGAUACCACCUCCAUUUCCCUCUCUCCCCCACGGCGAUCUGACCUCCCGAUGAUUCGACCCACCGGAUAUGGCCGCGAUGAGAUUUACCCCUUUCACUCCGAUGGCACCUCCAUUUGCCUCCUCUCGGCGAUCUGCCCCUUCCACCUUCUCCGACGCUUCCCUCUUCCGCCGGCGACGCCAGUCACCUCCACUCCCUCAACUGACACGCGCAGAAACAACAGUCCACCGCUUUCCUUGGGGUCGGCAAAAUCGUCGGCUCUUCCCUCUCUUUCACGCAAUACAUGUCGUUCAACCUUGCCUCCCCUUCAUGAAGACUCGCCACUGUCCCUGUGCUGUAGUCGGAGACUCCUCUGCCUCGACGAACAAGGCAGUCACCCCGGGCUGUCACAAGUAAAAGGAGAGUCUCACACAAACAGCAGUUGCCAUCGGCUCAGGUCCCGCAAACUGCCGAUGUGCUCCAAAACUCGGCGAGGGCCGUCGUUCAACCUUGCCUCCCCUUCCUGAAGACUCGCCACUGUCCUUAUGCCGUCCUCUGAGACUCCUCUACACAACGAACAAGGCAGCCACCCCGGGUUCUCACAAGUGAAAGGAGGGUCUCACACAAACAGCGUGAUUAAAUACCUCAGGAACUGAGGGGAAUAUUUGUCUCAAUGGACGUGUGCUUAGUGGUCUUGCUUGACAGAGCUCUUCUGUUUGCGAUCGCAUAUUUCAUUAGAGGUAACCCCUCCCAUCUCUUCCUUUUUCUCCGUGUUUCUGCUUUGAUUUUUGAAUUUCGGUUCUUGCUGUUUUUGUUCUUGAUUUCUUUAAUUGUUAUUGUUUCAAUAAAUACACAUUGCAAAGUAUCAUUCCCCUUUUCUAAUCUUAUGGUUACUGUUUUAUUUUCACUAUUCCAGUGACUAUUUUCUAUCAUGUCACUUUUGUUUAUAUUCUUAUUCUAGAUUCUAACUAUGUUUCACAUUCAUAAACAUAGAACAUUAUCGUGUUUUCCGAUGUAUAACUUUGGGUUGCUCAGCCAUCUUGAUAUUUUUGAAUUUCAAUUCUCUAUUUUGAUUUUGAAUUUCUGCUCUUGAUGUUUUUGUUCUUGAUUUCUUUAAUUAGGAAAGAUGAAAAAUUCGAGGAAUAUGUUUUAAAAUUUCCAUCAAUCAUGAUUUCUAAUAUCUACGAAUGUGAUUUUUUUCCUAAUAUAUGUACAUUUUGCAAAUCGUUUGUUUUUAAAUACUACGGAUAUUAGGUUUCCAAUUUUAAUAUAUUUAUUGCUUUUGAUGUUAUUUUAGUUUUAUAAUUUAUAAUAUAAUAAUUGAACUUCUAAUUAGGUUCAUCCUACAGCUCCAUAGUUCAUGAGUUCCUCAACUCUUUAGAUCAUUAUUUCAUCUCUGGAUCCUAGAACUAUAAUUGGCUACUGCUCAAAUUCACUAUUUCAUUAAAAAAAAUUCUUGAACUAUAACUGAUUAGUAUUUUUCCAGGCUUUGAUUAUGUAUGUUUAUGUUAUAGAUGACUUUUUCAUUAUUAAUUUUUUCUCGAACUAUACCUGAUUAAUAUUUUUCCAGAGAUCGAUUAGUCUUCUAUAUUAGUGCUGGUGAAUAUUUAUAGUUUAGAUUCAGUUCAAGUAGCGAAAAUCAAACUUCUACAUAAUGCCUUUUAUGUAAGAAAGUUGGUAGAGUAAUAGGCUUUUCUUCUUUUCAGGCUGAUGCAGCGAGCACGACUGGGUAUAAAUUCCAACCUCUCCUUUUCAUUUUAUGUAAAAGUUGAGAGGAAUCGAAUAAACAAGUUUAGUUUUGACAUGUGCAUAAUUAACAGCGUGUUGGUGAGGGUUCUCACCGAAGGGGCUCUGGCGCUGACGUUGGACCAUAAGUCCCAUGAAAAGAUAGUACAAUGUGUUAUAACAGGAGUUGCUUUAUCCACUACUUCAAAUAUUCUUGCUGGGGUUUUAUAGAUUGCUCCCACCAUUACUUCUGAAUUAUUCUAAUACCAUUUUCUACUUUCUCACAUUUAGGAUAACAAAUUUCUCUUUAUGUACUUCGAAUUUACCUCUACACUUUUUACCAUAAUUUGAACAACCAAAUAAUGCAAUUUUGAACAAUUUUAUUCUAAGGCAAGUGUUUUUUUUUUCU